CAGGUAUGACCCGGGUCUCAGCGGGGUGAAGGGGCUAAAAGUGAUUUCUGUAAGAGGGGGGAAAAAAUUCACAUAGGGGCAUUCAAAUGAGUGGGAGGAUGCUUUAAUGAGGAUAAGAAGACCUUCUCCCUUCAAGGGACACGAAGUAGCCGAUGAAGUCGCAUACAAACGCUUCAAGAGGCGGAGCAUCCAUGGGCGCAGCAGAGGGGGUCCAGCUGCCAGUACACCGCUGCCCUCUAGGGGGCGCUGUGACUCUCUCUUUGAAUUUUACGCCUUCUGUCGGAGGCUGGAGCUCGAAUUUUCACGGAGAAAACACAUGCAAGAACACAAUGUCCUGCAAUAAGACAUGCAAGGUGCUGCACAAACUUCUGCAACACCUUCUGAUAAAGAUAAGAAAUAAUCUUAAAUGUGAUCACAAAAGUAAGAUGUCACCAAAAUUAGGAUUAAAAUUCCUGUUUGUGAAAAUAGUAUAGCAAAAAAAAAAAAGAUAUUAUUCUCACUUGUCCAUGACAAGCUUGCAAACUGUUCUUCUUAUUCAUUGGGUUGUAAGAUUGUAAGAUAUAUUUAAUUAUUUCACUGACAUUAAAGACAUGUUAAUGUUUUAUUUAAUAUUAUUUCAGUAUACUAUGGAAACGCAAACAAAAAAAAAACAUCAACAUGAAUGUGCACUGUAGAGAAAACAAAGGUUGCAUUGCACUGUGCAAUGAAAAUAAAAUAAACGUUUCACUGCAUUGUG
Long non-coding RNA from Poecilia latipinna (sailfin molly), 736 nucleotides. RefSeq lists it as uncharacterized. The record is from RefSeq and is a predicted model, not a curated record. Lineage: Eukaryota; Metazoa; Chordata; Actinopteri; Cyprinodontiformes; Poeciliidae. The transcript is spliced from 3 exons.